RNAcentral lists this ribosomal RNA (492 nucleotides) under uncultured bacterium. Its description in RNAcentral is "partial 16S ribosomal RNA". It matches the Rfam family "Bacterial small subunit ribosomal RNA", at positions 30 to 507 of the family's 1533-position model. The record is from RNAcentral.
AGUGAACGCUGGCGGUAGGCCUAACACAUGCAAGUCGAACGGCAGCACAGUAAGAGCUUGCUCUUACGGGUGGCGAGUGGCGGACGGGUGAGGAAUACAUCGGAAUCUACUUUUUCGUGGGGGAUAACGUAGGGAAACUUACGCUAAUACCGCAUACGACCUACGGGUGAAAGCAGGGGAUCUUCGGACCUUGCGCGAUUGAAUGAGCCGAUGUCGGAUUAGCUAGUUGGCGGGGUAAAGGCCCACCAAGGCGACGAUCCGUAGCUGGUCUGAGAGGAUGGUCAGCCACACGAGAGCUGGGACAGGGACCAGGCUCCUACGGGAGGCAGUAGUGGGGAAUGGGGGACAAUGGGGGCGAGCCUGGUACAGCCAGAGCGAGUGGGAGAAAAAGACCUUCGGGUUGUAAGGCCCGUUUGUGGGGAAAGAAAAGCAGCAGGUUAGUACCCCGCUGUACUGACGGUACCUAAAGAAUAAGCACCGGCUAACUACGUG